CCGCGCGCGGAGGGCGGGGCGGGGGCACNGGGGGCCUACGGGAGGCAGCAGUGGGGAAUCUUGCGCAAUGGGCGAAAGCCUGACGCAGCAACGCCGCGUGGGGGACGAAGGCCUUCGGGUUGUAAACCCCUUUCAGCAGGGACGAAAAUGACGGUACCUGCAGAAGAAGCCCCGGCCAACUACGUGCCAGCAGCCGCGGUAAU
RNAcentral lists this ribosomal RNA (203 nucleotides) under uncultured Actinomycetes bacterium. RNAcentral describes it as "uncultured actinobacterium partial 16S ribosomal RNA". It matches the Rfam family "Bacterial small subunit ribosomal RNA", at positions 287 to 524 of the family's 1533-position model. Lineage: Bacteria; Bacillati; Actinomycetota; Actinomycetes. The record is from RNAcentral.